Molecule: long non-coding RNA, 1321 nt
Organism: Acinonyx jubatus (cheetah)
Lineage: Eukaryota; Metazoa; Chordata; Mammalia; Carnivora; Felidae
Exons: 2
Source: RefSeq, a predicted model, not a curated record
CCGCGUUCUUCUCCCCGCGCGCCCACGGCCUCCCCCUUCCCUGAGUCUCUUCCUCUGCGGCUCACCCACCCCACUUCCUCCAGGGACGUCUCCCCAGUCAGCCAACCUCAAAGGCCGGCUCAGCCCUCACCGUCGGGGCUGCACUCUGUGAUGGGAGCUGACCCCAGCUUCCUCCGCUGCGGAAGGCCAUGCUGGUUUCCGCGGGUCCGGGUUACCUAGGCGACGUGGGCGACGCGAAACUCUCCUUCCACGCAUGCGCAGGUCCCUCCCCGGCCCCAGCGCUCCGGGCGUGUUAGGCUCUCCCACAGGAGGUGUCGCCUCUGAGGGAUGCCCACCUCCAACCUGCGUCGGUUCCCCGGGCAUCGCAUCUUGCUCCUCCCUGUACCUCUCACCCUUGUGCACCUCCAAUACCUAGCCUGGGGGGCUCGUGUUUGUUGAGUGAAUGAGUGAGGGGCUGGGGAGACUGGCCCGUAGAGAAUUCUGUAGGAGCGGACUUGGCAGAGAGAGGCAGUGCUUCCUGGGAUCCCCUUCCAAAGAAACUACUUGCUCCCAAAUCCUUGCCUCAGGCUCUGCUUUGGAGGGAAUCCAAACUAUGACCCUAACCUCCCACUUUCUCCGUGUCUGCCCCCAGUCUGCUGAAAACUGGAGAAAGCAAUUCUGGUAGCUCUAUGUUAAAAUUUGUGUUCGGUGACGUCAGAUGCAGGAAUAGACACGGAGGAAAAUUCAUCUGGGAGUAUAACAGCCAAUGGAUUCAACGGAGGCAAAGCUGGAGGCAGGGAGGCCAGCGGGAGGCCAUCACCCUCAGCCCUCUACAAGAAGCCCAGAGCGGGCUGGAGGUGGCUGUGGAAGACAGUCAGGAAUUGGUGAUUAUUUCAGAUACAAGAUCGCAUGUUAACCACACACGAAACUUGUAUUUUGGAAGGCAGGGCCGAGAUAAACGCUCUCUGGCUUCUGUAUUUAAGCAGAGCUCUUCGUCAAAGGAAACGGAAACAUUUGCCAGUUGAGGAAUGGAAAAACCGCACACGCUUAUCUGCCAGAGCUAUUUUGCUUAUAGACGAUCUAACAUUAGUCCAACAGUGGAGGUGAUUUUCCAUACUCGCCCCGCCUCCUACCACCUUCUUUGAGGCAUCGAACGCUCCACCUACUUCCUCUUCAUUUUGUCUCGGCAAGGACUCUUGUUUGUAUCUUUGCCUUGUGGCUUUAUGACUUUUGGAUUGUGUGUGUGUGUGUGUGUGUGUGUGUGUCCCACUGAAAUAUGUACCAAAGUCCUCCCUGUUGCCUUGGUAAAUCUGUAUCUGGGAAUAAACCAAACAGGGAAAAA